UUUGUUAGUGCUUUGCACAUUUAUCGUGCCUCUGAUAAAGUUAAAGUGUCCAAGUCCAAAUCAAAUAAAAUCACAUGGACAAAAAUAAAGUGUCCUUGUCAAACUAACAGUAUUGACUGUGGAUAUUUUGUCAUGCGAUUUAUGAAGGAGGUCAUCAUGGAAAAUCAAAAUAAAAUUCCUUUGAAUUACUUUCCCGCACACAAAUGUGUUACUUAUUCUGAAAAUAACUUAGCUGAAGUCAAAGAGGAUUGGGCUUCCUAUAUGCUAGAGGAUGUUAUUAGAAAACAAGUGGGAAAACAUUUCAUACCCUCGACGUUGGAUAACUUAUGAGUUUUUCUGGACAAGUGUUUUUUUAUGGUUCUACACCUGCUUUUAUAAUGUGCAAGUCUUGCAUUUAUGCUGCCAUAUACUUCUUUUA
This is a long non-coding RNA of Vicia villosa (hairy vetch), 418 nucleotides long. RefSeq lists it as uncharacterized. The record is from RefSeq and is a predicted model, not a curated record. The transcript is spliced from 4 exons. NCBI's taxonomy places the organism in Eukaryota, Viridiplantae, Streptophyta, Magnoliopsida, Fabales, Fabaceae.